UCUGCACCUGCACUUCGGGAUAAGCUUGGGAAACUGGGUCUAAUACCGGAUAGGAACCAUCUUUAGUGUGGUGGUUGGAAAGUUUUUUCGGUGUAGGAUGAGCUCGCGGCCUAUCAGCUUGUUGGUGGGGUAAUGGCCUACCAAGGCGGCGACGGGUAGCCAGCCCGAGAGGGUGUACGGCCACAUUGGGACUGAGAUACGGCCCAG
This 207-nucleotide ribosomal RNA is filed under the name uncultured Actinomycetales bacterium. RNAcentral's name for it is "partial 16S ribosomal RNA". It matches the Rfam family "Bacterial small subunit ribosomal RNA", at positions 125 to 334 of the family's 1533-position model. The record is from RNAcentral. Lineage: Bacteria; Bacillati; Actinomycetota; Actinomycetes; Actinomycetales.